UACGUAGGGUGCGAGCGCUGUCCGGAAUUAUUGGGCGUAAAGAGCUUGUAGGCGGUUUGUCGCGUCUGCUGUGAAAAUCCGGGGCUCAACCCCGGACUUGCAGUGGGUACGGGCAGACUAGAGUGUGGUAGGGGAGACUGGAAUUCCUGGUGUAGCGGUGAAAUGCGCAGAUAUCAGGAGGAACACCGAUGGCGAAGGCAGGUCUCUGGGCCACUACUGACGCUGAGAAGCGAAAGCGUGGGGAGCGAACAGG
This 253-nucleotide ribosomal RNA is filed under the name uncultured bacterium. RNAcentral's name for it is "partial 16S ribosomal RNA". It matches the Rfam family "Bacterial small subunit ribosomal RNA", at positions 524 to 776 of the family's 1533-position model. The record is from RNAcentral.